Molecule: ribosomal RNA, 442 nt
Filed under: Bacillus sp. (in: firmicutes)
Lineage: Bacteria; Bacillati; Bacillota; Bacilli; Caryophanales; Bacillaceae
Description: bacterial SSU rRNA
Rfam family: Bacterial small subunit ribosomal RNA
Source: RNAcentral
UCCUACGGGAGGCAGCAGUAGGGAAUCUUCCGCAAUGGACGAAAGUCUGACGGAGCAACGCCGCGUGAGUGAUGAAGGUUUUCGGAUCGUAAAGCUCUGUUGUUAGGGAAGAACAAGUACCGUUCGAAUAGGGCGGUACCUUGACGGUACCUAACCAGAAAGCCACGGCUAACUACGUGCCAGCAGCCGCGGUAAUACGUAGGUGGCAAGCGUUGUCCGGAAUUAUUGGGCGUAAAGGGCUCGCAGGCGGUUCCUUAAGUCUGAUGUGAAAGCCCCCGGCUCAACCGGGGAGGGUCAUUGGAAACUGGGGAACUUGAGUGCAGAAGAGGAGAGUGGAAUUCCACGUGUAGCGGUGAAAUGCGUAGAGAUGUGGAGGAACACCAGUGGCGAAGGCGACUCUCUGGUCUGUAACUGACGCUGAGGACGAAAGCGUGGGGAGCGA